RNAcentral lists this ribosomal RNA (791 nucleotides) under uncultured rumen archaeon. RNAcentral's name for it is "bacterial SSU rRNA". The stretch from base 25 to 520 matches the Rfam family "Archaeal small subunit ribosomal RNA", at positions 4 to 496 of the family's 1478-position model. The record is from RNAcentral.
CGGCCGCUACUUCCCUAGUGAGGAAUGGUUGAUCCUGGCAGAGGCUACUGCUAUUGGGAUUCGAUUAACCCAUGCAAGUCGAACGAAUUUAGAUUCGUGGCGUACGGCUCAGUAACACGUGGAUAACCUACCCUUAGGACCGGGAUAACCCUGGGAAACUGGGGCUAAUACUGGAUAGAUGAUUUUUCCUGGAAUGGGUUUUUGUUUAAAUGUUUUUUCGCCUAAGGAUGGGUCUGCGGCAGAUUAGGUAGUUGGUUAGGUAAUGGCUUACCAAGCCUAUGAUCUGUACGGGUUGCGAGAGCAAGGGCCCGGAGAUGGAACCUGGGUACAAGGUUCCUGACCCUACAGGGUGCAGCAAGCGCGAAACCUCCGCAAUGUACGCAAGUGCUACGGGGGGAUCCCAAGCGUUAUGCUUAAAGGUUUGAUUUUUCUAGUCUCGUAAACGCAUAUGACCAUGACAGCUGGGCCAUUACUUGAGCCAACCCUCGCCUUAAAAACUAUAAUCUCCUUGGUAAAUGCUUCUUAUGGACCUAAAUUUUUUCCUUCCAUAUUUACAAAUUACAGACGUACGUUUCCUGACUUAUUAUGACACAUAUAUGAAAUGAAUAUGUAGCUUAAGGUGGUCGACCGCUAGCUUGAUCAAAUCUGGCGGAGUAACUCUCCUAAUUUUAGUCUUCACCUUCUCUUCUUAACUUUAAAUGUAUUCAUCGCACUUAUCACGUAACCCUGCUACAGCUACCCGAAACACACCUGAAGGACAGUCAGCUAUAAGCUCACUCCACUCUCUAGAC